RNAcentral lists this transfer RNA (73 nucleotides) under Canis lupus familiaris (dog). It matches the Rfam family "tRNA". From Rfam's summary of the family: Transfer RNA (tRNA) molecules are approximately 80 nucleotides in length. Their secondary structure includes four short double-helical elements and three loops (D, anti-codon, and T loops). Further hydrogen bonds mediate the characteristic L-shaped molecular structure. tRNAs have two regions of fundamental functional importance: the anti-codon, which is responsible for specific mRNA codon recognition, and the 3' end, to which the tRNAs corresponding amino acid is attached (by aminoacyl-tRNA synthetases). tRNAs cope with the degeneracy of the genetic code in two manners: having more than one tRNA (with a specific anti-codon) for a particular amino acid; and 'wobble' base-pairing, i.e. permitting non-standard base-pairing at the 3rd anti-codon position. Lineage: Eukaryota; Metazoa; Chordata; Mammalia; Carnivora; Canidae. RNAcentral also lists the same sequence under 1 other name. The record is from Rfam by way of RNAcentral.
GCCUGGGUGGCUUAGUUGGGAGAGCAUGUGACUCUUAAUCUCAGGGUUGUGAGUUCAAGCCCCACAUUGUGUA